GCCUGACCUCCCCAUGUGGGGACCAGCUGCUGUCCAUAUCUCCUGUGGCCUGGGCAUGGGCUGUGUUCCAGCUGCAGGGUCCAGCUAGAGCCUGGGGCAGGAGCAGUAGCUCCAGGAGCUCCAGGUGCAUCAAUCCAUCUCAUGCUUUUGAAGAACAAGUCUUUUCUGCUGUCUUCAGAGGGACCCUACCAUUCUCCUUUGAAGCCAAGCCAAGAGCAUGAAGCGGUGAAGCUUACGGUUCAUGCCUGCUGUGGUAUAGAGAAGAGGAGAAAAAGGGCUGGCAGGACGGAGCCAGACCCUUUCUCUAGGAGGCUUCAGGCGACCAGGAAACCAGGUGGACGGGUACGGACUGCUUCUUCCUCUGCGGCAGGAGGGUUUUGCAGAGGAUUCUGCUGGUUGAGAAGUGGUCACUCACUCCAGAAAGAACCGCUUCCAUCAGAUGCUGUGCAGCUCUGCUGAGUGUUGUGCCAGCCUCAAGAGUCAUGUCACGGUGGCCACCCGGAUCCUGGGACUGGGACUGGAGGCUGGACAACAGCAGGGCGCUGCAGAAGAUUGCUUUCUCCGAAGAGAGGACAUCUCUUCCCCUCUGUCUCUCACCCCACCCUUCAGUGACCAGGGGAUUUCACCUCUUUGGGGGCUGGGUUCUUCAUUUUUGACUGUCCUACACAGAGAGGGUCUCCAGGCCUGAAGUCACAUGUCACCUAGAACUCAGGUUAGCAAAGCUUCCUUGCUCAGUGUUGCACGUUGUCUUUCAGUUAGACUUGCACUGAAUUUCAGUUUACCAACACGAACAACCCCACUGAGGAAACGAGCACAGAGUUUGUAUAUUCUGUCCUAUCCCGCAGAGAAUCUAUGGCAGGAACAUCAGCAAUAGCAGUCCCCGAGCCCCAGAGCCUGUCAUACAUCUCCAGCUUAUGAUCUGUGGGGCCCAUGGCUGUAUCAGCAGAGGGGAAGCAAGGAAUGGAAGCAGAAAAGGAAGCAUGAACGUGCACUUGUAAAGAUAAGGCACAGAGGAAUGUGUGCAUCUUGGGGCUCAGGUAAAAAGUGGUCCAGAAUCAGAGAUGCUGAGGAGAAAACUAGGGGUGUCUGAGAGUGGUUCUCCUCAGCUGCUCUGUCCUGUCGCUUCUUGCAUUGGGCACACAGGGUCACUAUUCUCUCUCCGAGACUCCAUCCUUACCAUUGCCCUGGAGGGGCAUGUUUCCUCACAAAGAAAGGUGACCUCACCCACGGGCACCAAGCCAUGUGUGAUCCGUGUGCCCCUGAUGCUGACUUUAGCCCUGGCCCCUCAACCACCUCCCUUCUUGUCUGAUGUAAGAGUGUUUCCAAGAAGAAUACUGUGUGCCCGAUAGACACUGUGGGUUCAGGACUAGGCAUGUCCACGUUGAAUUUUUGUGAUGCUUUAACCAGGAACGGAGGGCUCUUGCUGCUGUCCUCAGAGGUUAGCUUGUUUUGAGGGCUCCAGCUUCUCUGUGGUGGCCUGGAUGGGCAUCGUGGUUACAAAGGAGAGAUUUGUAGAUGUUGCUUCUGGUUCCUUUUCAUGUUGCUGGGAUGAAGUGCUACGGCAAAACAACUUGAAGGAGUUGCUCUUGAUUCACAAUAGGGAAGUCCUCAGAGCAGAGUAGGUGGCAACGGGCCAAACCGCAUUUUCAGUCAGGAAGCAGAGAGAUGAGCGCUGUUGCCAGGUUCACUGGCUUCCAUUUAUGCAUUGCAGGGCUUAAGCCCAGGGAAUGGUCCCAUGUAUGGUGGGAAGAUCUUCUUAUCUCAACUAAUCUAGCAAACAAGUCAUCCACUAUAGACAUGCCCAGAGAGCCUUGGUCAGGGUUCCUCAGUGGUUGUCACAUCAGGACAGCGAGUGUCAAGUCCUAUGGUCUUUGGUUGGUACUUCUUAUGGCCAGGGUUCCAUGUAUCAUGUACCUGCUGCUAUGGAGAAUGGACAGGGAACCUGGUGAUGGUCCCUGUGGCUAAGGUGCUCCUCUCUCCAUUGUAACGUUAAAGCUUUGGCAGAGUUCAGUUUUCAGAUUAUUCUUAGAUUAUUGGUGUGUGAGAUUCAGGUGACAUGUAUCUUCAAGCAGGUGUUGUGACUGCUCAGGGCUGAGUCUAUGUCAGUUCCUCUUGAGGCAAGUUGCUUCUGUCUGUGAGUCUGGCAGCUGGUUCCUACAUGCUCAGUAUUGAGUGCUUGGGUAGCCUUACUACAUGCUUGUGUGCCUGUGUGCCUGGUCUAUAUGCUAUGUGCAGUGGGCAGCUUAAAACAAGAGUCUUAAAGAGUGGACACGAAAAGCAUGUGACUUGCUGGUGGGGUUUGUUUUGUUCGAAGGACUGAGCUGUGCCAUAGUUUUGUUUUGGUAUCUGAGAUGGCACUCAACUCAAAUGGCAGAAACCUUGGCCCCUACUUGACAGUCUGUAGAAUACCUUCUCACUGGGCCCCCAGCAUCUCUGGUGUCAGGGAAAGUGCGAAACCAUGUACAUCUCAUAGCUGCCAUUGAAGAAUUUCCAGAAAGAUUUCCAGUUAGAGAACCAGGAUCAGACCUGGAAGGAUUUCCUUUGGCUCCAGGUUGAUGUAAAAAUGAGUCCAGGAACCUCAUUCUAAGCUUUUGAUUAACUUCAAUGGGAAGAUUCUAGAUUCUACAUCCUUGACCUUUGCAGAUGGAGACCUGCUCAUGCUUGGGGAGCCCUCUGUCUUUGCCGUGGCUAUCUUGGGCAGGAGUCAUUCCUAGUGCAUUGUGUCUGCACUUUCGCCUGCUGCCCUGCAUGAGGCUUCCAGCCCUGCCACUGUCUGCUGCCAUUCCCUGUGGUGCCAGACAUUGAGCUUCUUGUACGUGGACUGCGUACCAGUGGCCUGUGUUGUUUCUUAUAGCCAAGUGCUCUCCUGGGAGCUGAACUCUGACAUCAAGACUGUGUCAGCACACCUCUGCACUUCUAGAAGGGUCUGUUGGUCUCAUUCAUCUAAGUUCCUAGCUAAGAUGAUGUUCAAUAAAUAUUGAUCACUGGAUGAAAGUUUCUUAUCAGUGCAGCACACUCUAGUGGUUUCUAUUUGGAAAGGAAUUCAACAAAAAUAAACUAAGAAAACCAGUUUGGUUUCACUGUGAGGCCAAAGGCAGCUCAUAGUAGGAUGAGCCAACUGACUUUGGAGAGGCCAUUUCUUUAGCUUGGCUAAGAAGAACAUUCAAUGAAACUUGAGUUUCUCUCAACAAUUCUACUUCCUGUCUUUCUCAUCCUGUUUGAAGAGUAAAUAAGAUAAACCAUUGUCGGCCAUCAUGUAGUGGAUCCAACUCUUUAGAAAGUACUCUCCUACUUUGUUCCCCCUUUUUCUUUUUUCCUGAGAGAG
Molecule: long non-coding RNA, 3325 nt
Filed under: Rattus norvegicus (Norway rat)
Lineage: Eukaryota; Metazoa; Chordata; Mammalia; Rodentia; Muridae
Description: long non-coding RNA NONRATT033033
Source: RNAcentral